This is a long non-coding RNA of Oryzias melastigma (Indian medaka), 408 nucleotides long. RefSeq lists it as uncharacterized. NCBI's taxonomy places the organism in Eukaryota, Metazoa, Chordata, Actinopteri, Beloniformes, Adrianichthyidae. The transcript has 3 exons. The record is from RefSeq and is a predicted model, not a curated record.
AAAUUACUUCCUGUAUUUCCGGAAGUAGUUAACCCGCGAACCGGAAACGGAGUUAGCUCAUUGGCGUUCAGCAGUAAAACGAAAAACACGUCUAUAAACAUCUUUUUGCAGCAGUAUUUGGGAUCUUCUUAAGUGAAGGAGAGAAGGUUCAUCUGUUUGGAUGCUGAAGGCAAAGAGCUGCAGAAUGAAAGUCUCACCAGUAAACCGGAAGAAGAGCUGCCAGCUGCUGUUGCCGUGGGUGACGAUGAAGACGUUGGCAAAGGCAUCGACUCAGGUGCCGUCUCUGAGGGCAACGAGGAGGCUGGGACAACUGACCACACCCCCAGAGACUUGAACUGCGGCGUUGGGGCUCGUUCAUGAAAGUCACCCAACAUGUUACACAAAAUAAACGUGUUUUUUUCACUUUGA